Long non-coding RNA from Ictidomys tridecemlineatus (thirteen-lined ground squirrel), 2318 nucleotides. RefSeq lists it as uncharacterized. NCBI's taxonomy places the organism in Eukaryota, Metazoa, Chordata, Mammalia, Rodentia, Sciuridae. The record is from RefSeq and is a predicted model, not a curated record.
CUUUUGCCUUUUUUAUGCUCUGUUUUAGCAAGUGCGUUGAAGAUUUAAAUAUGUGCCUUUUGCUCACCCCUCUCCAGGUUGCAUUAUUUUCUGACAGUGCUCCCACACCUGCAAGAUAUCCUCUUCUCCCACAUGCUAACAUUAAGGAGGUUCGACAGAGAACAUGUGCGCUCCCAGGGAGCACUAAGCACUUGCUCCCCGUGGAGUGGCCAGCUCCCUAGCAGACCUCUCUGCCUCUGCUCUCUCCAGAUGGCUCUCCUUCUGUAGCUGUAACUGCAGUCCCCAUGGACGUGAUCUUAUUUGGAAUGAGGGUUUCUGCAGAUACAAGCAAGAGAAGGUGAGAUCUUGCUGGAGAAGGGACGGCCCCCUCCAAAGAGGACUGUGUCCUUAGAGACAGAGGGAGAAGGCUGUGGGAGACAGGGAGAGACUGGAACAGUCUCUGCAGCUACAGCGCAGAGCAACCAGAACUGCUAGCAUCACCUGAAGCUGGGAGAGGCAGGAAAGUUUGCAUCCGUUGAUUUCAGAGGGAGGUGGCCCUGGAGGCCCUGACAUCAGCAUCCAGCCUACAGAUCUGUGCAACCACCACUUUCUGUUCAAAGCAACCAUUUGGGAGUAUGUCGUUUCCCGUAUCCCCAGAGAAUGAACACAGGGUACAGUGGGGUUGAAGCCAAAGAACCCAGGCCUUGAAUUCAGACCUGGAUCUGAAUCACAGUUGGACUGCCUGCUAGUCAAUGAUCUGUGGCUACUUCCUCCCUGAGCCUCAUCCCUUUCUUGAAACAUAAGUAGCCAUGAGAGAGGAGUCAGGAGACUUACCUUGCAAUGAACUUUUGCAAGAAUGCAGGGAAUUAAGGUUUGUGUAUCAAUGAGUCAUAUUUUACAAGAAGGAAGAAAAACUCAAGGUGACUCAGUAGAAAUGGGACCUCAGUGUCAGACCUGUGAAAUUUCUUGCAGAACCCAAGUGGGAAGGCGGCAUGGCCCAGGGCCCAGCACAGCCAGUGCCCUCCUGCUAAUGGCUGAUACGCCCCCUCCAGCGGGUGGCCAGGACCAGCAUCUGACCAGCACGUCCUCCUUCUUCUGUGGCCCACGCUUCCAAACAUUGCCUCUGAGGCUUCAGAGGCUAGAAGGAACGAAUCUGAACCUUCCUCAACCUCCAAAUCCUAAAGCCCAAUGGACAGGAUUUGAAGACCUGUGUUGUGCCGGGGACCAGGGUUGUACAUUUCCAAACACGUCAAGAAAGGGAUGUGUCUAUUGAAAGUCACAGGAUGCAAUUUGCAAAAUUCCUUGGAGAAGGGUGACAAAGGACAGUAGUGCUAUCUUCCACAUCCCAUCCUGUUGGGGACAUUCCUUCUCUCAGUCUCACUCCCCUCACCUCUCCGACUGCCCUUCCUUCUGUGCUCCAGCCAGCUCCCCUGAGUUCCAGCCCUUACCAGGAUCUCUGUCUACACCGAAUCCUCCUUUUGUAAACUCCUGUUACCCCUUUCACGGUUUUCUGUGGUUCGGUCCUUGCCUUCUGGUUGGUCCUUGGCCUCCAUCCUCUGAUACCUGAGGACAAGCAGCAGGCUUUGUGGUGCUGGCUGAUCCCUGUGCCAUUUAGCAUGUGGGCCUGGGGGUUAGCACAGCCUGGCUCUGUCACCACCUGCUCAGCUCUAGGGAUGUUUCUGUCCCCUGCAGCGGGAGAGGCUCCACAGUGUGUAUGACCAGAGCCCUCAGUCAGCAGGCCAAAGUUACACAGUGGCAUUGCUGCUUGAGGUCUGAGGGCGGUCUCUCCCAAACGCCUCCUGGGUAACUGAUUCAGAGUACUCCCCAUUUCAGUUCCAGGCUGCUGGAGCGUCUGCCUCCCUCAGCGCCAGGUCCUGAGAAGGGCUACUCCUGCUGGCCUUGGGCAGGAGCUCUCCACCCUGUCCUGGCUUAGCCACACUCAGGAGCCUGGCAGGCUGGGGUGCUGCCCUGGGCCAACAUGGGCCUUGGGUGGAACCAGGAGGUGUGGGAGGAGAGGGGCACCACUAGCAGCAGGUUAGAACCUCUAUCUGGAGAAGACGAAGUCGCCUGGGAAAGAAGUGUCUCAAGCGAAAGGGGAAAGACCAGGACAAAGCAAAGCAAGUGACUGCAGCAGAAGCCAAGUGAUGCACACAAUAUCAGAAUUGGGACUCUCCAUCUGUCCAUGAUUCUGCUGGCUCCCAGCACCCACUGCACCUUGCCCUGGCUGCUUCCUCCUCCAACAUGAAGCCUGCCUGUGCCAUGGGUCACUUUAACCUCCAGCCUGGAGCAAAUUCUGGCAUCCAGGCCACAAUUGCUGAUUAAACAAACCUGUAGAAAAA